Molecule: ribosomal RNA, 248 nt
Filed under: uncultured bacterium
Lineage: Bacteria
Description: partial 16S ribosomal RNA
Rfam family: Bacterial small subunit ribosomal RNA
Source: RNAcentral
GAUCCUGGCUCAGGAUAAACGCUGGCGGCGCACAUAAGACAUGCAAGUCGAACGGAAGUCGUUGUAAUGAAAUAGAAACGGACAGAGAACUUGUUCGAAGAAAGUGGAAGUAGACUUACAACAAUGGCUUUAGUGGCGGACUGGUGAGUAACGCGUAAGGAACCUGCCUUCUAGGGGGGAAUAACAAUGAGAAAUCAUUGCUAAUACCGCAUAUGCCGAGAGAAUCACAUGGUACAAUCGGAAAAGAG